GUUAAUAUUCCAAUACUUCUGUGUAAUGCGAUGAGAGGACGGAGAAGGUUAAGUCAGCCUGGCGUUGGUUGUCCAGGUGGAAGGUUGUAGGCAUGCAUCUUAGGCAAAUCCGGGGUGCUCUAUGCUGAGAACUGAUAGCAAGCUGUACUUGUACAGUGAAGUGGCUGAUACCAUGCUUCCAGGAAAAGUCUCUAAGCUUCAGUUACACAGGAAUCGUACCCGAAACCGACACAGGUGGUCAGGUCGAGUAGACCAAAGCGCUUGAGAGAACUCUGCUGAAGGAACUAGGCAAAAUGGUACCGUAACUUCGGGAGAAGGUACGCUGCUUUUGGUGAUGGAACUUGCUUCCUGAGCUGAGAGCAGCCACAGAAACCAGGCCCCUGCAACUGUUUAUUAAAAACAUAGCACUCUGCAAACACGAAAGUGGACGUAUAGGGUGUGAUGCCUGCCCGGUGCUGGAAGGUUAAUUGAUGGGGUUAGCGUAAGCGAAGCUCUUGAUCGAAGCCCCAGUAAACGGCGGACGUAACUAUAAC
Molecule: ribosomal RNA, 533 nt
Filed under: Empedobacter falsenii
Lineage: Bacteria; Pseudomonadati; Bacteroidota; Flavobacteriia; Flavobacteriales; Weeksellaceae
Description: partial 23S ribosomal RNA
Rfam family: Bacterial large subunit ribosomal RNA
Source: RNAcentral